RNAcentral lists this ribosomal RNA (753 nucleotides) under Areopaguristes hewatti. RNAcentral describes it as "eukaryotic LSU rRNA". It matches the Rfam family "Eukaryotic large subunit ribosomal RNA", at positions 680 to 1152 of the family's 3401-position model. Lineage: Eukaryota; Metazoa; Arthropoda; Malacostraca; Decapoda; Diogenidae. The record is from RNAcentral.
AUGUGUGCAAGUCAUUGGGCGAACUAAACCCAAAGGCGGAAUGAAAGUGAUGCAAUCUCCUAUGAGGGGAAGCUGGUAUCUAGUAUACCGUAAUAAGGCUUCCCCGGGCCGAUCCCAGGCCGGCUGCCGCGGGUCUCUGCGGCUCGGUUUUUUCCGUGAAGGCGGGGAGCUGGGUGAGACCCUUUCCUCAGUUCCCGUCUUGCCCGAUCGGGGCCGGGUCCGCGGGCUCGUGCGUAAAGGCCCUAGCCUGUCUGACAGGGGGGCGCAGGCCCGGGACUUUCCACCAGUGCCCGGCGGCGAAGGCGAAAGUGGGGGCCUCGGUUCCCGCUAGUAGUCGCGUAGCCGUCGUAGCCGAGGAAAGUACCCUGAGCACAUAUGUUGGGACCCGAAAGAUGGUGAACUAUGCCUGGCCAGGAUGAAGCCAGAGGAAACUCUGGUGGAGGUCCGUAGCGAUUCUGACGUGCAAAUCGAUCGUCAGAGCUGGGUAUAGGGGCGAAAGACUAAUCGAACUAUCUAGUAGCUGGUUCCCUCCGAAGUUUCCCUCAGGAUAGCUGGCACUCGAGGGACGGAGUUUCAUCCUGUAAAGCUAAUGAUUAGAGGUCUUGGGGACGAAACGUCCUCAACCUAUUCUCAAACUUUAAAUGGGUGAGAUGCCGAGCUUUCUUAAGCGGCUAGGGCGGCAACGCUCUAGCCCGUGAAGCUCUUGGCGGCCAAUCUGAGUGCCUAGUGGGCCACUUUUGGUAAGCAGAACUG